AACGAACGCUGGCGGCAUGCCUAACACAUGCAAGUCGAACGAGACCUUCGGGUCUAGUGGCGCACGGGUGCGUAACGCGUGGGAAUCUGCCCUUGGGUUCGGAAUAACAGUUGGAAACGACUGCUAAUACCGGAUGAUGACGUAAGUCCAAAGAUUUAUCGCCCAAGGAUGAGCCCGCGUAGGAUUAGCUAGUUGGUGAGGUAAAGGCUCACCAAGGCGACGAUCCUUAGCUGGUCUGAGAGGAUGAUCAGCCACACUGGGACUGAGACACGGCCCAGACUCCUACGGGAGGCAGCAGUGGGGAAUAUUGGACAAUGGGCGAAAGCCUGAUCCAGCAAUGCCGCGUGAGUGGUGAAGGCCUUAGGGUUGUAAAGCUCUUUUACCCGGGAUGAUAAUAACAGUACCGGGAGAAUAAGCGCCGGCUAACUCCGUG
This 433-nucleotide ribosomal RNA is filed under the name uncultured bacterium. Its description in RNAcentral is "partial 16S ribosomal RNA". It matches the Rfam family "Bacterial small subunit ribosomal RNA", at positions 29 to 507 of the family's 1533-position model. The record is from RNAcentral.